UAACGGAGCAGUAGGUGGUACUGCUGUAACGGAGCAGUAGGUGGUGCUGCUGUAACGGGGUAACGGAGCAGUAGGUGGUACUGCUGUAACGGGGUAACGGAGCAGUAGGUGGUGCUGCUGUAACGGGGUA
This is a non-coding RNA of Oncorhynchus mykiss (rainbow trout), 130 nucleotides long. The record is from RefSeq and is a predicted model, not a curated record. Lineage: Eukaryota; Metazoa; Chordata; Actinopteri; Salmoniformes; Salmonidae.